Molecule: long non-coding RNA, 2967 nt
Organism: Micropterus dolomieu (smallmouth bass)
Lineage: Eukaryota; Metazoa; Chordata; Actinopteri; Centrarchiformes; Centrarchidae
Exons: 2
Source: RefSeq, a predicted model, not a curated record
CUUGGCUCUCUCUCUGGCCCACUUUCCAGCCAUGGCAGCAGCACACCACUGAGAAGAAUGCGGAAUAAGAACAGACGAUUAAUGAGUUGGAGUUUGCGGUUGCAGACCUUCAAUGUGGAAGUCAGAUACAUCUGUGGCAGGGAUAAUGUUCUGGCUGAUGCACAUACUGGGGUAAGUUGUAACAAUUAGACAAGAGGCAAGAAUGGAUGACAUACAGUGUGAUUUGCUUCAAAAACGGGUAUAGUGAAAUAAAAGAACAAUGUCUUCUCUGUAAGUGUUUGAAGUGAGCUGGUAUUCACAGGUAUGCAGUAUACAUUGGUGCCGAUACACAUGCCAACAUGUGAACAACAGAGGAGUACUUUUCACAGUGCUGACAAAUUAAUGCUGGUAACCCUGGAGUGCAGGCCCAGAGACUGCAUAGGAUUAUUUAAAGAAGUGUUACAACCCACCCCUUGUCAGCCAUUGUUUAGCUAGCUGUGUUAGCAUAGUGGUUUGAAAUUAGCAGAGGAAAAUGCAUCACAUGUUGCCUAAGAAAUGACAAUUUAAUCUAAGUCAUACAUUUCUAUUUGCAAUAGUGUGUAUAUACGAAACAAAAUACAGUCUCCAAAAAUGUCUUGCCUCAAAAUCUAAAUUUUCUCUAUACAUUCUGAAUGUGCCUGUUUCCAGCCUUGACCACCACCAUGUGUGAUUGGAAUGAAGUACGUAAAUACUCAAAUCAUCUCAUGACUCAUAUCUUAUCUGUAACUGGUGGAAUUGGUGGUUUACAACCCUACGCGGUCUACCCUAUACAUAAAUGACAAUUUUUUCUUUUCUGUAACUGAAAUGGUUAUCACAUCACUGCAAACAAUUUCCACUCAUAUAGGAUUUAAAAAAAAAUCUUGCAUCUGCUUGCUGCUGGGAAAUUCCACUUGUCAACAUGAGAGGAAUUUAAUUACUUUUGACCUUUUCUUAACUUCCCCCCCAACCCUUAAUGUCUUUGAUGAACUAAUGGUGUUUAAAAUGUAUUGAUGUUCUUCUUGAGCAUUUGUUCUUAACACACUUGUAUUGAGCAGAUACAGUAAUGACCUUUCUUACUGCAAAGCACAGGUGAAUAUUAAUUAUGCCCCUAAUGCAUUUAGUUGUCCCAGUUACAAGGCUUCACAAUACUGUGGGACAAGUGUGAAAGCACUUUUGUGCAGUAAUGUAAAUGCUUCAAGUUAAAUCUACUUUUCCCAGAAAUAGCAUCAUUACAUUUUAUACUGCACUUUACUUACGGACAGUGAAUGACCAAGUGAAUGUUGUCAGCAUGUGAUAACUUUAAACAAACUUGUUUUGCACUCUGUCCAUUGGAUUUAACUCCAACGGUCUAUCAAAGUGUGAGAACAAGCAGGUGGGCUCUGUAGACAUUGGCCAAAUCAAAUCUCCGCCCUGAAGCCAAAGCCCUGAACCCUCUGCCUCUGUCCGAGAGGCUGCAAGGGCCCGAAAUGGUACAAUGGGCCAGCACUGCAACAUGCCAAAACAACUGUGGGUUAGGUACAUUUUUAUUUUACAGACUGGCCCCCAGUCUUUUGUUUUUUAAAUUGUGACUUAAACGUAUUUUUAUUCCAUGGCUUUUAAUCUGGCAUGAGAGCUGUAUGUUGUAUUUGUUUGGUGUUUUUUGUCUAUUUAUUGUUUCAAGUCAAUGUACAACACUUUGAUAAACCUGUUUGUUUAAAAUGUGCUUAGAAAUAAAGAGAUUGGAUUUUGUACUUUAUUUAUGGCCGAGGCACUGAAAGGACUCUUAUUUGAACAUGUUCCAGGCUCUUGAGUAAAAUCAUUAUUUUAAAAUGACCUCUACCUUUGGACGAGAGGUCAUUUUCAAAUAAUCACUGUUCUUGUUUUUAUCAGAACAGGAUCAUACACUUAGAUGUAUACUUUUUUCCUUGUAGUUGCUCCUUCCAUGUUUGUUUAUGCCAGCUCUCCUGGAAACCCCGUUAUUAAUGUCACAACACUAUGAACUGUGGGUAAUUCCGUCAGGCAAAGUCUGCAGAGCCCACAAAGGGCUCAAAAGGUCUGCGAGAGAGAGCCCUCAUGUGCUUGACAAUUUGACAGUGGGACAGCCCAUGCCCUCAUGGACUUACCGGGAAUGUACCUCUGAGUCCAUGAGUGUGGAGAUUGGGAUUCAGCCAUAGACUACAACAUGAGAUGAUUAGAGAUCAGCCAAGUGCAACAGUUUUUUUUUUUCUUUCUUUUUUUUUUUGUCCAAGUCAGACAGAAGGGAGAUUUAGAUUUGCAUAUAUGUUUAAAACAGAAAAUCAAGAAGUAAGCUCUAUUUAAAUGUUGCAGUGAGACAGAAGGAGAGCCGUGUUUUGAAAAGGCAUCAGAACAACUUGAUGGACCAUGAAGGCGCAUUGCUCAGCCGCCAGCCCCGGACACACAUGGAUGGCAGUCACACAGUCUACUUUCACUGAGGCAAAACCGAUAGUCUCCUUUUGUUUUCAUGAAUCCAGUGCUGCUUGGCCUUUCCUUCCAUCUUGUGUUCCUGUCAGUUUCAAGCUCAACCUGACUGAGCUGGUCUGAUGCUCAGGAAGCCGUUUGUACAAGUUGCCCGCCUCAUACAGGAAGUGCUUUGUUUCUCUCUGCAAAUAUUUCAUCACCCUGCCUGCAGGCUCCAACAGCCCCCUGCUAUUCUGAAAAGGACACACAUCUGCCUUAUAUGAUGAUGCAGUAUAUCUUUCACACACUACAGCUGUUUUGUAACCACUCCUUUUAAUCCACCUUAUUUUGCAGCACUACCAUGUUUUUCUGUUUCACUGCAUUCAUACAUAAAACUACUCUUACGCUGACAUACUUGCAGGUACUGACAUAUUUGACUUAAUUGCAUGAAUGUAUGCUGUAAGAUACUGUGAUUUUGAAGAUUCAAAUCCAAAUUAGUCACUCACAGUUAACAGCUGUUCAAGUGUUUUACUUGUAGAUUAAUCUUGGAAAUUAAAUUCUGUUCUGCUCUUA